AUUGAACGCUGGCGGCAGGCCUAACACAUGCAAGUCGAGCGGAUGAAGGGAGCUUGCUCCUGGAUUCAGCGGCGGACGGGAGAGUAAUGCCUAGGAAUCUGCCUGGUAGUGGGGGAUAACGUCCGGAAACGGGCGCUAAUACCGCAUACGUCCUGAGGGAGAAAGUGUGGGAUCUUCGGACCUCACGCUAUCAGAUGAGCCUAGGUCGGAUUAGCUAGUUGGUGGGGUAAAGGCCUACCAAGGCGACGAUCCGUAACUGGUCUGAGAGGAUGAUCAGUCACACUGGAACUGAGACACGGUCCAGACUCCUACGGGAGGCAGCAGUGGGGAAUAUUGGACAAUGGGCGCAAGCCUGAUCCAGCCAUGCCGCGUGUGUGAAGAAGGUCUUCGGAUUGUAAAGCACUUUAAGUUGGGAGGAAGGGCAGUAAGUUAAUACCUUGCUGUUUUGACGUUACCAACAGAAUAAGCACCGGCUAACUUCGUG
RNAcentral lists this ribosomal RNA (484 nucleotides) under uncultured bacterium. Its description in RNAcentral is "partial 16S ribosomal RNA". It matches the Rfam family "Bacterial small subunit ribosomal RNA", at positions 30 to 507 of the family's 1533-position model. The record is from RNAcentral.